AAACAAUGCAAACGCUAAUGGCGUUAGCUAUAUGCAUAUAUUGAGUUAGCUGGGAGACGACAUUGCCCAGGACAUUGUUUAAUUUGUAAUUAAGCAACAAUGUCGUCAGUUGAGCAUUUGAGGAGAUUUGUCAAUGAGCGACUAACCGCUGCUGCUGAAGAAAUAUUUGGAGUUUUUAAGAAGACUAUCGUCGCGUAUGAGGAAGAAAUCGACCGUCAGCGCAGACUGUUGGACAUCGUGUGGAACCCUGAAAUAAAGUUACUCAGAAUAGUGGUAUCCUCUUCCUCUUUCUUUUUUUGUGUCCCCUCCAGAGCCCCCACAGCAUCAGGUCGGUAUGAAGGAGGAUGUUCUCGCUGACCAGCAGGACCCAGAGCCUCCACAGAUUAAAGAGGAACUGGAGGAACUCUGCACCAGUCAGGAGGGAGAGCAGCUUGAACUGAAGCAAGAGACUGACACGCUUAUCUUGACACCUACAUCAGAGGGAAAUGACCACAGUGAAGCUCAGUCUCUGUAUUUUCCUCCUGACAAAAGUCUGAGUGCAGCAGACACAGAGCUUCCAGCUAGCGUGUGUAUCACUUGGCAAAAUGAUGAAUCAGACUCUGAAGACUCGGAUGUAUCAGACCCAAAAAAUGCACACCAGCUUCUCUUCCACAACUUCCUUGUAGCUCAAAGCCAACAUCAAAAUGGAAGCGAGCAUGGAGACUCAGGAUCAACAAGUAACGCGCAGCCAGACCCCCAAAAAAGUCACACUCACUACUUAAUCAACACUAACUUGUCAGGGAUUUGCUGUAAUACAGGUAAAAAGUUUCUCAAAUGUGACACGUGUGAGAAAACUUUUAGGUAUAGGUCAGAUUUGCAGAGACACCUGCUGAUACACACAGGUGAGAAGCCAUAUUCUUGCAACAUGUGUGGAAAAAGAUUCAAUCAGAAAGCAAGACUGAGCGGCCAUAUGAGGAUCCACACAGGUGAGAAGCCAUAUUCUUGCAAAACCUGUGGGAAAUAUUUCCGACAUAACAGUCAGUUGACAGUCCACAUGAGAGGCCACACGGGAGAGAAGCCGUUUACUUGCAACACUUGCGGGAAAGAUUUCAGACGUAGUGAUGAAUUGGCAGCCCACAUAAGAAGAAUCCACUAACCUUAUUUUUUCUUCAUACUGUGUAUUAUUCGUAUAUCGAGAUCUUUUAAUGCUGCAUCUCAGCAGCUAGGGUUCAGUUUAAGUAUGAUUUGAUACUGUUUGGUGUUUUCAUCAGUGCAGCUGUCUCAUAUUGAACAAACUUGUAUUCAGUAGAGGAAUGUAACUACAUGUACUUAAGUACUUUGUGCAGCAUUGAUUGUCUACGUAGCCAUGGUUGCAUGUAAAUUCCACACAGAUAUGAAAUCUUGAACACUUCCAAUAAAAAAAAAAUCAUCAGUUUUGAA
Molecule: RNA transcript, 1419 nt
Organism: Epinephelus moara (kelp grouper)
Lineage: Eukaryota; Metazoa; Chordata; Actinopteri; Perciformes; Serranidae
Gene name: zinc finger protein with KRAB and SCAN domains 8-like
Exons: 2
Source: RefSeq, a predicted model, not a curated record